GACGAACGCUGGCGGCGUGCUUAAUACAUGCAAGUCGAACGGAAAGGCCCUGCUUUUGUGGGGUGCUCGAGUGGCGAAGGGGGGAGUAACACGUGAGUAACAUGCCCUUGAAUUUGGGAUAACUUCAGGAAACUGGGGCGAAAACCGGAUAGGAGAUCCUGCUGCAUGGUGGGGGUUGGAAAGUUUCGGCGGUGGGGGAUGGACUCUGGGCUUAUCAGCUUGUUGGUGGGGUAGUGGGUUACCAAGGUUUUGAGGGGUAGCGGGCCGUGGAGGGUGCCGGGCGACAUUGGGACUGAGAUACGGCGCAGUCUCCUACGGGAGGCAGCAGUGGGGAAUAUUGCACAAUGGGCGGAAGCCUGAUGCAGCAACGCCGCGUGCGGGAUGACGGCCUUCGGGUUGUAAACCGCUUUCGAAUGAGACGAAGAGUGAGUGACGGUAAUGGGUAAAGAAGCACCGGCUAACUACGUG
RNAcentral lists this ribosomal RNA (468 nucleotides) under uncultured bacterium. RNAcentral describes it as "partial 16S ribosomal RNA". It matches the Rfam family "Bacterial small subunit ribosomal RNA", at positions 28 to 507 of the family's 1533-position model. The record is from RNAcentral.